CCGUCGUCAGUUCGUACUGUGAAGCAUCCUGUUAAGUCAGGCAACGAGCCGAGACCCCACGCCCACAGUUUGCCAGCGUACUCUCCGGAGUGACGGGUACACUGUGGGGACCGCCGGCUGCUAAAGCGGAGGAAGGAAUGGGCAACGGUAGGUCAGUAUGCCCCGAAUAUCCCGGGCUACACGCGAGCUACAAUGGUUGGUACAAUGGGGUAUCUACCCCGAAAGGGGAUGGAAAUCUCCUAAAGCCAAUCUUAGUCCGGAUUGAGGGCUGCAACUCGCCCUCAUGAAGCUGGAAUCCGUAGUAAUCGCGUUUCAACAGAACGCGGUGAAUACGUCCCUGCUCCUU
This 346-nucleotide ribosomal RNA is filed under the name uncultured Methanosaeta sp. RNAcentral describes it as "bacterial SSU rRNA". It matches the Rfam family "Archaeal small subunit ribosomal RNA", at positions 998 to 1338 of the family's 1478-position model. The record is from RNAcentral. Lineage: Archaea; Methanobacteriati; Methanobacteriota; Methanomicrobia; Methanotrichales; Methanotrichaceae.